GACGAACGCUGGCGGCGUGCUUAACACAUGCAAGUCGAACGGAAAGGCCCUGCUUUUGUGGGUUGCUGGGGGGGGGACGGGUGGAGAAAAAGGGGGGUAACUGGCCCUGAACUUUGGAAUACCUUCGGGAACCGGGGGUAAUUCCGGGUUGGAGCUUCUGCCUGCAGGUGGGGGGUGGGAAGGUUUCGCCGGUUGGGGAUGGACUCGCGGCUUAUCAGCUUGUUGGUGGGGUAGUGGCUUACCAAGGCUUUGACGGGUAGCCGGCCUGAGAGGGUGACCGGCCACAUUGGGACUGAGAUACGGCCCAGACUCCUACGGGAGGCAGCAGUGGGGAAUAUUGCACAAUGGGCGGAAGCCUGAUGCAGCAACGCCGCGUGCGGGAUGACGGCCUUCGGGUUGUAAACCGCUUUCGCCUGUGACGAAGCGUGAGUGACGGUAAUGGGUAAAGAAGCACCGGCUAACUACGUG
Molecule: ribosomal RNA, 468 nt
Filed under: uncultured bacterium
Lineage: Bacteria
Description: partial 16S ribosomal RNA
Rfam family: Bacterial small subunit ribosomal RNA
Source: RNAcentral